UACGUAGGGGGCAAGCGUUGUCCGGAAUCAUUGGGCGUAAAGAGCGUGUAGGCGGCCAGAAAAGUCCGCUGUGAAAACUCGAGGCUCAACUUCGAGCUGUCGGUGGAAACUUUCUGGCUAGAGUCCGGAAGAGGAGAGUGGAAUUCCGUGGUGUAGCGGUGAAAUGCGCAGAUAUCAGGAAGAACACCCGUGGCGAAGGCGGCUCUCUGGGACGGUACUGACGCUGAGCACGCGAAAGCGUGGGGAGCGAACAGGG
Molecule: ribosomal RNA, 256 nt
Filed under: uncultured bacterium
Lineage: Bacteria
Description: partial 16S ribosomal RNA
Rfam family: Bacterial small subunit ribosomal RNA
Source: RNAcentral